RNAcentral lists this ribosomal RNA (779 nucleotides) under Limnonectes kuhlii (Kuhl's wart frog). RNAcentral's name for it is "partial 16S ribosomal RNA". It matches the Rfam family "Bacterial large subunit ribosomal RNA", at positions 1461 to 2536 of the family's 2925-position model. The record is from RNAcentral. Lineage: Eukaryota; Metazoa; Chordata; Amphibia; Anura; Dicroglossidae.
CCCAAUACCCAAAAAUACCUUUAACCCUUUAUUUUUACUGAAUGAGUCUAUACAAUUAUAGAAGCCCCCAUGCUAAAACUAGUAACAAGAAAUUGACUUUUCUCCAAAGUACAAACAUAAGCCAAAAUGGACAAACCAUUGGUCGUUAACGUCAAUAUGGUUAAUAUAGUAACCAUGCUAGAAAACUCUAUUGCCUCCUACGUUAACCUUACACAAGUGUACUCCUGGAAAGAUUAAAAGAAAGGGAAGGAACUCGGCAAAUAAUAACCCCGCCUGUUUACCAAAAACAUCGCCUCUUGACAUACCAUAAGAGGUCCAGCCUGCCCAGUGAUAUAAUUAAACGGCCGCGGUACCCUGACCGUGCAAAGGUAGCAUAAUCACUUGUUCUCUAAAUAAGGACUCGUAUCAACGGCAUCACGAGGGUUAUACUGUCUCCCCAUUCUAAUCAGUGAAACUGACUUCCCCGUGAAGAGGCGGGAAUGCUAAUACAAGACGAGAAGACCCCAUGGAGCUUUAAACCCAAUGUCAACCUCCAAUAAACCUACCUAAAAAACAGAGAGGCUAUGAACAUUGGUUUUGGGUUGGGGUGACCACGGAGAAAAACAAAACCUCCAUGACGAAAGGACCUUAAUCCUAAUCUACGAGCUAUACUCCAAGAAUCACUAAUUUGACAUAUCUGAUCCGGCAACCGAUCAACGAACCAAGUUACCCUGGGGAUAACAGCGCAAUCCAUUUCAAGAGCCCCUAUCGACAAAUGGGUUUACGACCUCGAUGUUGGA